GCCCCGAGGUGAUUUACAUGUUGAAUUGCAAAUUCAAAGGAGCAGCUUAAGCUUCUGCCGGGGCUUC
This 67-nucleotide transfer RNA is filed under the name Cercopithecus roloway. RNAcentral's name for it is "tRNA-Cys". The record is from RNAcentral. Lineage: Eukaryota; Metazoa; Chordata; Mammalia; Primates; Cercopithecidae.